RNAcentral lists this ribosomal RNA (468 nucleotides) under uncultured bacterium. Its description in RNAcentral is "partial 16S ribosomal RNA". It matches the Rfam family "Bacterial small subunit ribosomal RNA", at positions 28 to 507 of the family's 1533-position model. The record is from RNAcentral.
GACGAACGCUGGCGGCGUGCUUAACACAUGCAAGUCGAACGGAAAGGCCCUGCUUUUGUGGGGUGCUCGAGUGGCGAACGGGUGAGUAACACGUGAGUAACCUGCCCUUGACUUUGGGAUAACUUCAGGAAACUGGGGCUAAUACCGGAUAGGAGCUCCUGCUGCAUGGUGGGGGUUGGAAAGUUUCGGCGGUUGGGGAUGGACUCGCGGCAUAUCAGCUUGUUGGUGGGGUAGUGGCUUACCAAGGCUUUGACGGGUAGCCGGCCUGAGAGGGUGACCGGCCACAUUGGGACUGAGAUACGGCCCAGACUCCUACGGGAGGCAGCAGUGGGGAAUAUUGCACAAUGGGCGGAAGCCUGAUGCAGCAGCGCCGCGUGCGGGAUGACGGCCUUCGGGUUGUAAACCGCUUUCGCCUGUGACGAAGCGUGAGUGACGGUAAUGGGUAAAGAAGCACCGGCUAACUACGUG